This 446-nucleotide ribosomal RNA is filed under the name uncultured bacterium. Its description in RNAcentral is "partial 16S ribosomal RNA". It matches the Rfam family "Bacterial small subunit ribosomal RNA", at positions 338 to 795 of the family's 1533-position model. The record is from RNAcentral.
CCUACGGGUGGCAGCAGUCGAGAAUCAUUCACAAUGGGGGAAACCCUGAUGGUGCGACGCCGCGUGGGGGAAUGAAGGUCUUCGGAUUGUAAACCCCUGUCAUGUGGGAGCAAAUUAAAAAGAUAGUACCACAAGAGGAAGAGACGGCUAACUCUGUGCCAGCAGCCGCGGUAAUACAGAGGUCUCAAGCGUUGUUCGGAAUCACUGGGCGUAAAGCGUGCGGAGGCUGUUUCGUAAGUCGUGUGUGAAAGGCGCGGGCUCAACCCGCGGACGGCACAUGAUACUGCGAGACUAGAGUAGUGGAGGGGGAACCGGAAUUCUCGGUGUAGCAGUGAAAUGCGUAGAUAUCGAGAGGAACACUCGUGGCGAAGGCGGGUUCCUGGACAUUAACUGACGCUGAGGCACGAAGGCCAGGGGAGCGAAAGGGAUUAGAUACCCCAGUAGUC